RNAcentral lists this ribosomal RNA (138 nucleotides) under uncultured bacterium. Its description in RNAcentral is "partial 16S ribosomal RNA". It matches the Rfam family "Bacterial small subunit ribosomal RNA", at positions 355 to 509 of the family's 1533-position model. The record is from RNAcentral.
UGGGGGAUAUUGCACAAUGGGGGGAAACCCUGAUGCAGCGACGCCGCGUGGGUGAAGAAGCGCCUCGGCGCGUAAAGCCCUGUCAGCAGGGAAGAAAAUGACGGUACCUGAAGAAGAAGCCCCGGCUAACUACGUGCC